RNAcentral lists this ribosomal RNA (418 nucleotides) under uncultured bacterium. RNAcentral's name for it is "bacterial SSU rRNA". It matches the Rfam family "Bacterial small subunit ribosomal RNA", at positions 917 to 1338 of the family's 1533-position model. The record is from RNAcentral.
GGGCCCGCACAAGCGGUGGAGUAUGUGGUUUAAUUCGAUGCAACGCGAAGAACCUUACCAGGGUUUGACAUCCUGCGAAUCUCUUGGAAACGAGAGAGUGCCUUCGGGAACGCAGUGACAGGUGGUGCAUGGCUGUCGUCAGCUCGUGUCGUGAGAUGUUGGGUUAAGUCCCGCAACGAGCGCAACCCACGUCGUUAGUUGCCAGCAUUUAGUUGGGCACUCUAGCGAGACCGCCGGUGAUAAACCGGAGGAAGGUGUGGAUGACGUCAAGUCAUCAUGCCCCUUACAUCCUGGGCUACACACGUACUACAAUGCUACGGACAAAGGGCAGCAAACUCGCGAGAGCUAGCAAAUCCCAAAAACCGUCCCAGUUCGGAUUGCACUCUGCAACUCGAGUGCAUGAAGUCGGAAUCGCUAG